Molecule: non-coding RNA, 74 nt
Organism: Thermoplasmatales archaeon Gpl
Lineage: Archaea; Methanobacteriati; Thermoplasmatota; Thermoplasmata; Thermoplasmatales
Source: Rfam
GGGCCCAUAGCUCAGCUAGGUAGAGCAUCUGGCUUUUAACCAGAGGGUCAGGGGUUCGAACCCCCUUGGGCCCG